Molecule: long non-coding RNA, 1756 nt
Organism: Oryzias sinensis (Chinese medaka)
Lineage: Eukaryota; Metazoa; Chordata; Actinopteri; Beloniformes; Adrianichthyidae
Source: Ensembl
GAGCCUGAAAACUACUGUCAACAAAAUGACCUUCUGUCUUUAACUAUAUAAACACAAAGAAAGGCCUUCUUCUGGGAAAACUUAUCAUGUCUGAACUCCCUCAUCUUACUUUAGUCAGUGUGAUAGCAAACAAAGACAGACACGGAAUCACAGAUAAACAUUUUAUUGUGGUAAAAAAUAUACAGCCGAUCAGCUCCUUCACCAUUGUACCUGGAAAAAACAAACAGCACAUUACUUUAAAAACUGUAGUAAAGAAACUGGAAAAAUGAUGAAAAUCAAACACCCAACCUGUUAAUGUAGUUGUUCCCACUUUUGUUGGCCCUGGGGGGGCUGUUGUGGUGGUUCUAACCGAUCUCCCAUGUUGCAAAACCACAUAUAAAAGUCAAAAACAGGAUCUGCGUAAAACGUCCCAUCAAAACUUGAUGAUUGGGAUGCCUGAGGCAUCUGGAAGGGGCCCAUGAAGUCCAAGUCUUUGUACGGUGGUCCUGCUGAAUUGUCGCGAGGCUGCAUGGGCAAAUGCAUUGGUUUCAUGGGACCCACAGGGCCCCCAAUUGGAUACUUUGGCUCCACAGGCAUAGGUUUCAUAGGACCUACAGGGCCCCAAAAUGGGUAUUUUGGCUCCACUGGCAUUGGCACUGGUUUCAUAGGACCUACUGGGCCCCCAAUUGGGUAUUUUGGUUCCACUGGCAUAGGCACUGGUUUCAUAGGACCUACUGGGCCCCCAAUUGGGUAUUUUGGUUCCACUGGCAUNNNNNNNNNNUGGCACUGGUUUCAUAGGACCUACUGGGCCCCCGAUUGGGUAAUUUGGCUCCACUGGCAUAGGCAUUGGUUUCCUGGGACCCAGUGGAUCUCCAAAAACAGAUGUGGGGUUCAUGGCCAAAAUGAAAGGUUUCAUGCGACCUACUUGGUCCUGGAAGAAGAGUUGCGGUUUAGUGUGCAUAAGGAGCUGUUUCAUGGAACUGACUGGGAUCUUAAUUUGGAAGUUAGACUCAACAGUUGGCUCCAUGGGGCCUGCAGACUUCCCAUUUGGAUCUCCAGUUUGUUUAGUUGGAUCUAACGAGCCUCCAGUCAGGAAUUUAUGCUUCACAGGCAAUUGUUUUAGGUGAUCAAAUAAAUACUCAGUGAGGUGGUCUAGUUGAAUGGGAAGCUUUUCAGCGUCAUCCACUUCUUCUUCUUCAUAAGUUUCAGUUUCAGUGUCCGUAGCUGUAUGUUUGGGAAAUAGAGGUGGGUAGACUACUUUAGUAAAUGUACACAAAACAAUUCUUUUAUGAUUUAAUCUGAAUAAACUUACCAAUUACUCUGUUUCUCCCGACGGCCACCAAGGACAACAGCAACAAUCUAGAAAAAGACCACAGUUAUUGUCUAAAAAGAGGAAAAUCUGUGUGUAGACGGGCUUGUAAACACGUAAAGAGACCUAACCUAAAUAUUUUUAACAAACUCAAAUAAACUGGCACACAUUUGAAAAGCUUACCCAAAGAUCAUCUCCAUAACCCCAACGUGAGCAGCCAUCAGUGACGAUUACAAUUGCAAACAACUGGAAAAACUAGGACACCCGGAAACUUUUUAUACUUUCCUCCUAUCUCAAACAGGAUGCCGUCCACUGUUAGCAGGUGGAGCUAUCUGCUCCAUGAAUAAACAUGACAAUCAAAAGUGAGUCCAAACCAAACAUAAGUACUGGUCUUAUUUAAUGUGUUAAUGUUAAAACACUUGAUAAAUUUAGCUUAAUAUCCCUUUUUAAACUUAUUUGACAGUUUCG